AUCAUUUGAAGCUGUCUUUCUGCUACAGGCAGCACUCGUUUGUGAAUACUCAUGCAUGUUGUUAUAACUGCAUAUACAAUCGCGGUCACCUUACAUAUACCACAGCUAGAGUUCACAGGCGCGUAAGUCCAGCGGGAGGUGUGUUGAAGAGCUAAGUGGUACACCUGUAGUGCUUUUCAGAAACGAAGGCAAGAAUGCGUGUGUUUCUACUAUUGUCAUAUGUGGUUCUUCGGACAAUUUCAUGGAUGAUAUUGAGCGUGUUGUGGUGAUGGUGUAAAUAACUUCAAGUUUUUGGCAGGUGACGUCGUUAUGUGUCUGGUGCUGGUGCCACUGAAAUCGACUUUGCUUCCGAACUGGCUGUCUCCUUACAUGGUCUAGAACAGUACGCUGUACGUAGAUCUACGAUCAAGUCCUCGCAAUUUCCGUCUACAAGGGACGUUUUUGGUUUCUGCGCAAGUUCAAAGUCGAAUCAAUGCAGCGUUCCAACACCCAUACGAGCCACUUUCCG
Molecule: long non-coding RNA, 508 nt
Organism: Anastrepha obliqua
Lineage: Eukaryota; Metazoa; Arthropoda; Insecta; Diptera; Tephritidae
Exons: 4
Source: RefSeq, a predicted model, not a curated record